This 254-nucleotide ribosomal RNA is filed under the name uncultured bacterium. RNAcentral describes it as "partial 16S ribosomal RNA". It matches the Rfam family "Bacterial small subunit ribosomal RNA", at positions 524 to 776 of the family's 1533-position model. The record is from RNAcentral.
UACGUAGGGUGCGAGCGUUGUCCGGAAUUAUUGGGCGUAAAGAGCUCGUAGGCGGUGUGUCGCGUCGGCCGUGAAAACCUGGGGCUCAACUCUGGGCGUGCGGUCGAUACGGGCAUCACUAGAGUUCGGCAGGGGAGACUGGAAUUCCUGGUGUAGCGGUGAAAUGCGCAGAUAUCAGGAGGAACACCGGUGGCGAAGGCGGCGACCUGGGUCGAGACUGACGCUGAGGCGCGAAAGCGUGGGGAGCAAACAGG